Molecule: RNA transcript, 2568 nt
Organism: Clupea harengus (Atlantic herring)
Lineage: Eukaryota; Metazoa; Chordata; Actinopteri; Clupeiformes; Clupeidae
Gene: tafa1b
Gene name: TAFA chemokine like family member 1b
Source: RefSeq, a predicted model, not a curated record
GCACUUGCACACACACACACACACACACACACACACAUGCAUCGUUCAUUGCAUUGGAAAGGGGGGUAGAGCCUUGCGCACAGAGCUGAGCAGCCUCUCAAUGGGAGACCAGAGCUGAGAGACGCGGGGGAACCGUCGCGGAGCUGGGACGAAUCGCCCAUCAGAAGCUUCACAAAGUGAAGAGGCAAAUUAAGUCUGCAUCACCACGAGGCUUUUCACCUUCAGAGGCAGGAACAGAGGAGGGCAGAGAAGUGGUAGAAAAAGAGCAGUCCUUUCAAAUGAUUUAGAGGUGAGAUGACUAGCCCUCCAUCUUCUAAACCUUGGCUAGUUUUUGACAGCAUUUCUUGGCUCUGAGGUUUCUUCCUGUUUUUUUUUCCCUCUGGUUUUUCUUUUUCUUGGGGUGUCAGUGCUUGUAGGAUUGCAGACUGACUGAAGCUGGGAGAGGGGACUAUUUGAGACGCUGAGGAAAAACAAAAGAGCUUCUGGAUUCUGCAGUUGGUUCUGCUCUUACUGGGAACUUUUUGUUACAAAUCUCAUCUGGUCUGAGACCAUGGGUGGAUUAAGGAGAAUGUGCUGAGACUGUCGGGUAAAGAAGAACAUACCUCCAACCAUCUGACCAGAAAACUCAGAUUCCUGCCAUGUCCUGGUUUGUGUCCCUGUGGAUUAGCCUGAGCCUGUUUGUUCUGUGCCAGGCCACCCUUUAUGAGACCAUCCAGCAGCACCAUGUGGCCAGGCCAGGGCACAACGCUAUUCAGAUCCUAGAGGGAGGUACGUGUGAAGUCAUCGCUGCCCAUCGGUGCUGUAAUAAGAACCGCAUCGAGGAGAGGUCCCAGACAGUCAAGUGUUCCUGUCUGCCCGGGAAAGUGGCGGGGACGACGCGCAACAAGCCCUCAUGUGUAGAUGCAUCCAUCGUGAUUGGGAAGUGGUGGUGUGAGAUGGAGCCCUGCCUGGAGGGAGAGGAGUGCAAGACGCUGCCUGACAACUCCGGAUGGAUGUGCGCGUCUGGGAAUAAGAUCAAGACCACCAGGAACACCCAGCCAUACUCACCUUUUUAGCUCCGGAAGCAAAAUGCAGGGGAUGAUCCAACAGAAACCGAGCUGCAUUCUUGCUUCCGUAAAGAUUCAUCCAAGGACCUAACAAAGAACCACCUCGCAGGGACUAAGCGUGGAUUCCCUCAAAUCAGAACAGACUAAACCAUUACAUCACGGGCGACUGACUGGACUACCUGUGACCAACAGAAGGAUAUCCUCGGAGAUACAAAUAGCUUUGUUUGUGUGGUGUCAAGGAUUUCUAAAAAAAAAAAAAAAAAAAACAACGGGCUAAUCCUGUUUUUGAUCAAUGAGCCCCUCGUUGGUGAGUUUUCUCCGCACCAGUCAUGUCCAAUUACCUACAUGCCUUUGUUUUUGCUUUCAAAACUCAAAAGAGCUUAGCGGGGCAUUUUAGGGGAUAUACAAAGAAUGUCUGAGGACUCGCCCAACUCCUGAGCCAGACUGGAUGAUCCUGACUGAGCAACUAUUGGAUCACCAGCAAAGUGGAGGAUAACCAGGACAUGAUCGAACUGAGAUUUCAGACCAUGGAAUUUAUUUUCCAAGUCUUUUUUUCUCCAAAGGUAUAUAUGUCAUUUAUCGUUUGAGUGACAACAGAGCAUGCCAAUUUGGCUCAGACAUGACGAGUCCAAGUAGCUUGCAAUGUAAUGCAGAAUGACUAGAUCAAGUUAACUCAGAACCUGUUGCCCCCUCACCUCCAAACUCCUCUCCGCCUUCGAGCUAAUCAACAGCAGCAACAAAUGCUCUGCAAGGUCCCAAGGUCAACUUACAGCCCACACACACCAUUCUCGUCCAGAUAUGUUUUUUUUUGUGUGUGUGUGUGUGUGUGUUCCUUUGGCAUGCUCAGUGUAUUUCAUGGGAGCUUUCUUUGUACUGACAGUAACCUGUAAAUGUAUAUGUAUAUAUAAAUAUAAAAUGUAUAUAUAUGCAUAGUUCCAUACUAAAAGAAAGACUGUGCAGAUCUAACAAAAGCCCCGCAAAAGGAAUGAAUGAGCUCUGAAUGGCGAUCUUUAUCUGAAAUCAUCAUUUCUGUCCCUAUAUGUGGAGUUCUGUGAAUUCCCUUUCUCAAAGGUCGUCAGAGCAAUAUCCUCCUUCUGUAGUGGACAUUUUGCUGUGUUUGCUUGUGUUAGGGGCUUUCUGAAAAAGGUCAUAUGGAUCAGUUGGGAGAGGGAGGGAAAAAAAAGAGAUUCAAUACAUUGUACAACCCAGACCGUUUCAGCCAUAGAGAACUAGAGAUGAAGUAUAUGUUGUUCAAACAAGGCCUGGGCUUCAACUUUAUCUUCUUUGUUUUUCUUUUCACCCUGUUUCAUCUGAUAUUGGGAAUAGAUGUAGACUCGGACAUGCCUGUUACUGUGUAGGUCACACGCAAUGCACCAGAGGAGGAUAGAGGCAAGUGGAUUGCUGAUAAUAAAUCAAACGUCAUGGCAAAAUGAAGCUUUCAUCUCAGCCAGAUACACAGUAACCCCAGUAGAUAUACAUACAGUCCAGUACGGCCUUACCUGAAUAAAAAGAGUUUUCUAUA